CCUACGGGCGGCAGCAGUGAGGAAUAUUGGUCAAUGGGCGCAAGCCUGAACCAGCCAAGUCGCGUGAGGGAAGACUGUCCUAUGGGUUGUAAACUUCUUUUGUCGGGGAACAAAGACGGAUACGCGUCUCCAGAUGCGUGUACCCUAAGAAUAAGCAUCGGCUAACUCCGUGCCAGCAGCCGCGGUAAUACGGAGGAUGGGAGCGUUGUCCGGAUUUAUUGGGUUUAAAGGGCGAGCAGGCGGGGAUACAAGUCAGAGGUGAAAUGUGCGGGGUUAACCCCCGACCGGCCUUUGAAACUGGUGUUCUAGAGUUGGAGAGAGGUAUGCGGAAUUCCUGGUGUAGCGGUGAAAUGCGUAGAUAUCACGAAGAACACCGAUUGCGAAGGCAGCAAACCGGACCCAUACUGACGGUGAGGCACGAAAGCGUGGGGAGCGAACAGGAUUAGAUACCCCUGUAGUC
RNAcentral lists this ribosomal RNA (460 nucleotides) under uncultured bacterium. RNAcentral's name for it is "partial 16S ribosomal RNA". It matches the Rfam family "Bacterial small subunit ribosomal RNA", at positions 338 to 795 of the family's 1533-position model. The record is from RNAcentral.